UAGGGAAUCUUCCACAAUGGGCGAAAGCCUGAUGGAGCAACGCCGCGUGAGUGAAGAAGGAUUUCGGUUCGUAAAACUCUGUUGUAAGGGAAGAACAAGUAGCGUAGUAACUGGCGCUACCUUGACGGUACCUUAUUAGAAAGCCACGGCUAACUACGUGCCAGCAGCCGCGGUAAUACGUAGGUGGCAAGCGUUGUCCGGAAUUAUUGGGCGUAAAGCGCGCGCAGGUGGUCCUUUAAGUCUGAUGUGAAAGCCCACGGCUCAACCGUGGAGGGUCAUUGGAAACUGGAGGACUUGAGUGCAGAAGAGGAAAGUGGAAUUCCAAGUGUAGCGGUGAAAUGCGUAGAGAUUUGGAGGAACACCAGUGGCGAAGGCGACUUUCUGGUCUGUAACUGACGCUGAGGCGCGAAAGCGUGGGGAGCAAACA
Molecule: ribosomal RNA, 427 nt
Filed under: uncultured Lysinibacillus sp.
Lineage: Bacteria; Bacillati; Bacillota; Bacilli; Caryophanales; Bacillaceae
Description: bacterial SSU rRNA
Rfam family: Bacterial small subunit ribosomal RNA
Source: RNAcentral